RNAcentral lists this long non-coding RNA (533 nucleotides) under Calidris pugnax (ruff). Its description in RNAcentral is "lncRNA (ENSCPUG00000002801.1)". The record is from RNAcentral. Lineage: Eukaryota; Metazoa; Chordata; Aves; Charadriiformes; Scolopacidae.
GGUUUUUUUGAGUAAUGAAGGGGGUUGCCUGGGAAAAUUUAAUUGGAGUUCUUUUGUUUCCUUUGCUAUUUGAAACUCUACUUAUAAAAAGUAUGAUUAUUUACAUUCUUUUUUUUUUUUUACUACAGAAUCAGAAGUACUUUUCAUUUGAUUGCCCCUGGAAGUGGACUCCCAUCUUUGUAACAGAAACCACCAGUUUGGUUUAUGUGUAUGCUGUGCUGUCCUUCCUCUUGGUCUUUCCCUGUCCUUAUUUAGUGAAGUACGGGGGUGAAAGAUACGGCUGAAUGGAAUUGUUUUGUAGAAGCAGGAAGUGAAGUUGAACGCGGUUCAUGAGGGUGGUUGGCUGGAGCUAAGGUUUGAUUUGGAAAGCUACUGCCUUCGUGUUUGAAAACACCAUCAGAGCUACAAGAGUGCAACAGGCUUUACUGCUUUUUGGGAGACUACCAAGAGAAGCCACAUUUUUAUUAGCAAGACUGUGCUAAAAUCCUGAGCUUUUGCUUCACGGCAUGAUAGAAGUAUAAUUAUCCUACGCU